GAGCACGGCAGAUGGGCUGCACCCGGGCCCACCCCCCCUCCUCCACCUUCUACCUGCUCCCUGGGUGGUGUUUGCUUCCUUAGUUGUUACUGAUCUUUCCUAAUACUUCUUAGGGUGGCUGUGAGGAGUAAAUUCAUUACUUAGAGUAAUGCUUUGUCAGGUGCCUAGUGCAUUAUAAGCACUCAGUAAACAUCAGCUGUUGUUAUCACAGCUGUUAAGAGUUUCCUUUAGGGAAUAAUUGAAAAAAGAAUCAAGCAUAAGUGUGUAUAUAUAGACACAUUGACACUAUACUUUGAGGAAAAUACAGCAAACCUCCAAAUUAACCAUCAUAAAACAUCUGUACUAAAAUGUAUCCUGUCCCUGAGGUCUGCACUUAGAAUCGUCCUUUAUUCAGCACUAACUAUGCAGGAUGAUUGAUGAUCUUGUUUCCUAAUCUACAGCUACAUUUUGGAAAAGUUUUCUAAAGAUAAGUUUGGUGACAUAAGGAGAGGUGGGAGUUGGCCUCAGAGUAAAAAGACUGUGAAAUCCAGAAAACCCAGGACUUUGAUUGUAUAACGUGACUGACUGUAUCCCUGCUCUCUCAAUGAGUGCGUCCUUGGGUACAAACAGGAUGUGUGUACCCAAGGAUACACAAAGCCUCCCUGCUUUUCCCCUGUGUAAGAUGGGGCUAAUGAUAGUUCACACCUCCUGGUUUGCAGAUCUUCAAUGAGUUGACACAUGAAAAAACACUCAGAACCAUUUGAUGCUCAAACUGUGGGUGAUAUCUUGAGAAGAUAAUGGAGAAAAAGGGGAAAUGAAGUGGUAUUGUUGAAUUCUGUGUGGCAGUUGGUGUUUUCAUUGGCUUCUCACAAAGUAUCUUCUAAAGAAGGCACUUAAUGCUCCCAUUUUACAGUCGAGACUAACAGGUUGUAAUGUGUAAGUGAUUGAUUACACACGUGAUAGACUGACUGCAUCCAACAGUCUCAAGCCAUCCAAAGAAAUAAAAUACUUUAGGAAGAGUUUUACAUUAGUACUCUCUAAGUGGUUAAGUCACAGAAACCCAAAGAGGACUAGCUUAAGCAAAACAAGGAAAUUAAUUUUGACUAGAAUCUGGAAGCUCAAGAAAGUGUGGUUUGCUCCAGAGGUUACAAUAGUAGCGCUUACUCUGUCCACCUCUUAGCCUUGCUGGCUGUCCUUUCCAGAUAAACCCUACAUUUGCUAACAGUAUUGGAAUUGGCAUCCCUUUGGCUGGCACCCAUCUCAAAACAAGAAAAUCUUUCCUGUAGUUUGUGUUGUGUGCUCACCUAUAGGGCCGGUGGCACCCUGCCUACCCCUCUUCAUGGAAUGCUCGGUGUUUCUGUGCAAUGGGGGAGGCCUUUUCCCCUGAUGAAGACAUUUUGACAUAUAAGAAUAUAACCAUAUUUCCUCUAUUUUCCAACUAAUUAAAAAAAAUAACAUGGAGAGGCUCUUAAUGAAAUGAGCAUUGGUUACUUAACAUGCCUUAUUCCUAGGGACAAGCCAUUUUUGUGAUAAGAUCAGACUACGCCACAGGGUUGUGCUGUCAAGUUCAAUUUACUAUUCAAGGUGAGCAGGUCAGCAGUAGGUAAGGUGUGUAUGCAAGACAUUUAAACUACACUUUAGAGCUCAUAGAAAAGGCUUAGAGAUUCAGACCCGCAGCUCCGCAUACUAAAUGCUACAUACGUGAAAUCCCCUGUAGAAAUGAAGAUAUUCUAUCUCAAUCCAGAACAACCCCCAAAUUAGAAAUGGGUAACCAGGGUAGGGUAGCAAGAACACGGGCCUGGGGGUUGGAAGAUUGCCACUUACUAAUUACAACUUUGGUCAAAUAAUUGAACUUUUCUUAAGGUUCCUCAGAUGUGAAAUAGGGCAGAUCAUAUCUUACAAGGUUAUUAUGAGGAUUAAUGAGAUGGUGUGCUCUUGAGAGAUGAGAAUAAGAACAGUGUGGCCUGUCAGCAGAGGGAGAGCGUUCCCUAGGCGUAUUUUAUUUCUGUCUCAACACGCCAAACUUUUUUAUUUUAUUUUAUUUUUUUACAACAGACGUCUGUUAAUGUGGAAUUUUAAAACCUAAACAUGUUGUUUUGCCCUAUAAUCAGCCAUGUUUGAAAUGGCUCUUGUCUUCACAGACCCACGCAGAGACUAGUCUUGCAGAGAAGGUGCUUGGCUGCUUGUUUCUAGAACUGUGGGGGAAGCAGUUUGAAACACAUCGUUUUGCUUCACCAGCCGUUUCCAUGGAGGAGGAAUAGAUGGAAAUCAGGAGCCCACAUUGUGGUCUGAAGUCAGGGCACUGACGCUCAGCGUGCAGGCUCCCUGCUUCAGAGCUGGGGUCGCCCAGAAUAACACGGCCAAAAGCAGCUGCCUUUCCUCUCUCAUUCACUGACCUGAAUAUCAAAUUUCAGAAUUCCUGUCCCAGUUGGUAUUGAUCCUGGCUAGACAUACUUUUCACACAAUCUAUAUAUAACAGUACGUCGUGGCUUUCAGAUUUUUUUCAUCCUGAUAAAAAAGAACUCAAGAGUUAACCUACAUGGGCAGUCAUGGAUACUGAAAACUUCUGGGUACAACUGAUGGAAGUCUUUUUUUCUUCUCUAAGAACUAGCCCCCCAUCUUAAAUUUAGCUUCUAAUUUCAAUAACCUGUAGUAUUUACUCCCAUGAGCACUUAGAGAGGAGUUCCUUGAAGUAAUCAGCCAAAGCUGUUCUUUAUCUAAGAUAUUUUCCGUAAAGUGUAAUCAGCAGAACCAAAGAACAGAAGCAGGGAAACAGUUAAUGUUAUCACCUCCAACAUUAUCAGUGGGGCCCAUGACUCUGAAAUCCAACUUCAUAAUAAAUAAGUAACCUUUGGUCAAAGCAGGAAAUGGCGCUUUCCUGGACAGUAACCAUGGUUUUCCUUUUUAAGAACAGAUUCAGCAUCAUUCAUUCAUUUAUUCAUUUAUUUAUUUAGGGCCGAAGCUGCGGCAUAUAGAGGUCGCAGGCUAGGUGUCAAAUUGGACUACAGCCGUCAGCCUACACCACAGCCACAGCAACGUGGGAUCCAAGUCGCAUCUGCGACCUACACUGCAGCUCACAGCAAUGCCAGAUCCUUAACUCACUGAGUGAGGCCAGGGAUCGAACCCACAUCCUCAUGGAUACUAGUCAGAUUCAUUUCCACUAAGCCACCAAGGAAACUCCAGAUUCAGCUUCAUUUAAAUAGACAAUCGUGCUUUCUACUUGAGGCAAUAGUUCUCAUGUGUGUGCUCACCGCCCACGCCCCCAGAGCUGCAACAGUGUCCCCUAGGAACUUGUUUGAAAUGCCAGUUCUUGGGCUCCACCCCAGACCUCCUGAAUCAGAAACUCCAGGGAUGGGGCAGGCUGUAUUUGAAGAAGCCCUGCAGCGGAUCAGAGUGCAGCUCAAGUUUGAGAGCCACUGCUCUAAGAUAACACUCGUAGGUGGUGGUGGUGGGGGGUGGGGGGUCAGACAGAAGUGGUUUCCCGCAGGACUUGAGAAAUCCAAAUCUAACGCUUGGGGGUCCAGUGUGCAGGUGCAGGAUACGGACCCACCUUUGCCCCCUCACACUGCACACUGUCUAGACUAGAAAUAAGCCACUGUCUCUUUUAUGUCUGUAACCAGAUAUGGUCUGUCAGCUCUCUCUGGUUAAUAUCAGAAGAUUUAAACUAGUCAGGAAAGAAAAAUGCUAUUGGAACCACCAGAACCAAAAAAUUGUUUAGUUCAUGGAGUUCCCUGGUGGAUCAGUGGUUUAAGGAUCCAGUGUUGGCACUGUUGUCGCUUGGGUUUGAUCCCCAGCAUGAAACUUCUGCAUGGGCAUGGCCAAAAAAAACCCUGGGUAGUUAAUAUGUCAUUCCUCUGUCAUAGCCUUUAACCCCUAAGCUUCCAGAAAAGCCUUCAAGACAUCUUAUAGGACUCCCUGAAGGAAAACUAAUCAAUACGGUUUAAAUUUGAUGUUCUUUGUGAACAUGCAUUUGAUUAUAGCAACAAAUUCCUUAAAUUUGCAAGCUCAGCUUUUUCAGUGUUCAAGAUGUGUGUAUUUACUAGUAAUUUCUGUGCCCAAGGUUUAAGAAAUACUGAAUUAUCUGAAAGAGGAGUUCCCAUUGUGGCACAGCAGAAAUGAAUCCGACUAGGAACCAUGAGGUUGUGGAUUCAAUCCAUGGCCUCGCUCAGUGGCUUAAGGAUCCGGCAUUGCCAUGAGCUGUGGUGUUGGUCAUAGACGCAGCUCGGAUCUGGCCUUGCUGUGGCUGUAGUGUAGGCCGGCAGCUAUAGCUCCAGUUAGACCUCCAUAUGCUGCUGGUGUGGCCCUAAAAAGGACUAUAUAUAUAUAAUAUACACACACACACACACACACACACACACACACACAUAUAUCUGAAAGAAAUUAACCUAUAUACAGGGAAUAUGUUAAAUAAAAGAAGAUUUUGAACUAAGCAUUCAGAUUUCUCAUGUGUCCAUUCCUUAGCAUCAGUGAAGACAGAUGUAUAUAAACAAGAAUGCCUAUACACAUUCAGGCGAAGUUUUUAUUUAUAGACAAAGUAGGCCAUGUGCUCACGAGUUUGGAUUUUGUUUGCUGUACAAGGUCUCCAUCUGUCUUUCUCUGGCUUCCUUGAAUUAUGCAUUAGCCCCCCCAAAACCCAUCUCAUCUAGGACAAACCUGUUUUCCGUGUAAUCUGUUAUAAAUAGCUAUAUAUAUACACAGAUAAAGAUGGGACCAACAUGUCUGGACUUGUAAAACAGUGGUGGUGAUUCUGGGGUGUGGGGACUGGCAGUUGGAGGCAGUGGUGAUGAAAUUAGCUAUUUCCAAACGUGUACUCAAGAGAGAUAUAUUUCUGCAGGGCUCGGUUCCCUGAAAACUUUUCACCACUAGAAAAUGUACAUUUAGAUAAUCCAUUGAAAAUGUAGUGAGGCUUCAGGUUUGAAUCUAUCUAUAAAGCUAUGAUUAUUUCAAUGUAAUUUUGAUCCUGGGACUAGCAAUCUCUUAGAGUAGUUAAUAUACUGGUUCUGACACCCUACUGCAGUCAUAGCUUUUCCAAUUUCAUUGCUACUUGGCUUAUUGAUAACUGUGUUCUAGAGUAGAAAGUUUUUUUUUUUUUAUUUUUUUUAUUUUUUAAGAAAAUCUUCCCUUUUAGGAGUUCCCAUCAUGGCUCAGCAGAAAUGAAUCUGACUAAUAUCCAUGAGGACGCAGGUUUGAUCCCUGGCCUUGCUCAGUGGGUUAAGGAUCCAGUGUUGCUAUGAGCUGUGGUCUAGGUCGAGGUUUUGGCUCAGAUUGUGCAUGGCUGUGGCUGUGGUGUAGGCUCAGAUUCGACCCCUAGCCUGGGAACUUCCAUAUGCCAUG
This 5313-nucleotide long non-coding RNA is filed under the name Sus scrofa (pig). RNAcentral's name for it is "lncRNA (ENSSSCG00000054452.1)". The record is from RNAcentral. Lineage: Eukaryota; Metazoa; Chordata; Mammalia; Artiodactyla; Suidae.